RNAcentral lists this long non-coding RNA (211 nucleotides) under Physcomitrium patens. RNAcentral's name for it is "long non-coding RNA (PPAT_LNC013148)". Lineage: Eukaryota; Viridiplantae; Streptophyta; Bryopsida; Funariales; Funariaceae. The record is from RNAcentral.
GCAAGCAAUCUGUUUCAAUUACUACUACUGCCCCAAUCAAAUAGUCCUUUUCAGCUUUCAUAGCUAAAACGACUCCCCAAAGUUCUCUUUUGACUUGCGAAUAUGCACGCUGACGAAUACUUAAAACUUUAGCCCCAAACCGAACUGCAAAUCUAUCCCCACUGGAAUCAUCUUGACCCACAGCCCAUCCAAUGGCAAUUGGACUAGCGUC